Molecule: non-coding RNA, 339 nt
Organism: Ictidomys tridecemlineatus (thirteen-lined ground squirrel)
Lineage: Eukaryota; Metazoa; Chordata; Mammalia; Rodentia; Sciuridae
Source: RefSeq, a predicted model, not a curated record
ACUGCAAGGGUGGCAGCCAGCGGGCCUUAGCAGCUCAUCCUUCCCAGGUGUAACUGCACAGAAUUCAUUCCCCGCAACUCACCUGAGGGCAAAGGACCGCAGAGACCUCAGUUGAAUGACUGUGAUGCUCCUUUACCGCAGGAGGGCUCUCCUCCAAGAUCCCAGAGUAAUUGGAAUGCUGAAUUCUUCAGUCAUGAUAAUUGGCAAGUGAAAAGAAGAAAAGUACAUCAAAGGAGUAAAGAAUACUUUAUGGAUAAAUGGCUUUCUUCAAACUGCCAAGGCUGAAUAUGAACCCUGGACCUGGGAUAAAAAAACUGAUGUUUUCAGCCUGGUAAGUUA